This 305-nucleotide ribosomal RNA is filed under the name uncultured bacterium. RNAcentral describes it as "bacterial SSU rRNA". It matches the Rfam family "Bacterial small subunit ribosomal RNA", at positions 337 to 640 of the family's 1533-position model. The record is from RNAcentral.
GCCUACGGGGGGCAGCAGUGAGGAAUAUUGGUCAAUGGGCGGGAGCCUGAACCAGCCAAGCCGCGUGAGGGAAGAAGGUACAGCGUAUCGUAAGCCUCUUUUGUCAGGGAACAAAGGCGGGGACUAGUCCCCGGAUGAGGGUACCUGAAGAAAAAGCAUCGGCUAACUCCGUGCCAGCAGCCGCGGUAAUACGGAGGAUGCGAGCGUUAUCCGGAUUUAUUGGGUUUAAAGGGUGCGCAGGCGGCCUGUUAAGUCAGCGGUCAAAGCCCGGGGCUCAACCCCGGCCCGCCGUUGAAACUGGCAGU